CCCCUCUCUCCCCUCUCCCUUCCCCUCCUCCCCUCUCCGCUCCGCCCCCGCGUCUCCGGCGAGGGCUCAGGCCGCGGCCCCGUCGACCCGCGCACCUUCCCCGGGAGAGCGCCUCCUCCACGGCAACAGCGGCCUCGCGGAGGCUCCCUUCUCCCCUCCCCCAAGGUCUGCGGCGUCGGAUUGGCCUCAGCUCGAAGAUCUCGAUUUUGUUCCGAAGGAAGGACCCCUCGCCCCAAAUCUCGAUCUGUGGACUGGUGGGCAGAAAGAUUCACCCUUUAUGGGGCAACCCCGUGAGAAGCCCGUGCCAUGAUUGGGGCGUCAGGGGAGGAGAGGCAGUGGUAGGAGGAGGUACAGCAGGAGGCAGGAGAAGAAGAGCAGGCGAGGAUAGGCAGGACCAAGGAAAAGGAGAGGAGGGAGCUCUCCAUGGGAGGAGAGCCCCUCCUCACCUCCCUCUCCAUGGAGAACAGCAAUAGCCAUCCCUGCACCCUCCUCUCCAUGGACCCCGCCGGGUCGCACCCGGCCUCGGCCGAGUCCUCCGGCGGUGGCGGCGCCGUCAACGGGGUUGGCGCCAGUGCUGACAGGGAGCUCUUCAUCAUUCCGCGGCAUGAGUCUGUGCGUCAAGGCCCGCCAGACAUCAACGUCCCGCUGUCAGCAGACCCCUCCCCGCCGCCUGCAUUGUGGAGCCUUGACACGUUCGACAUUUUCGAUGUCGGCCUUGGCACGCACACUCAUGAGUCUGAGGUUGCGCUGACGCUUCCAAAGUCGAGCGGCAACGGCAGUGCCGCAGUCGGCGUCGGUGCGAGGAAGUGCGCUAAGAGGGGGGACAGCAUUUGGGGAGCCUGGUUCUUCUUCAAUCACUACUUCAGGCCUGCACUUGUGGAGAAGGCAAAGGAGAAGGUGACGCGCGACGCAUCUGGGAGCAUCACUGGCUUUGACAAGUCCGAUCUCCGCCUUGAUGUUUUCCUGGUGCAGCAUGACAUGGAGAACUUGUACAUGUGGGUUUUUAAGGAACGGCCUGACAAUGCCCUUGGGAAGAUGCAGCUCCGGAGUUUCAUGAAUGGGCAUUCCAAGCACGGGGAGCCAUCUUUUCCAUUCAGUGCGGACAAGGGCUUUUCGAGGUCGCACCGCAUGCAGCGAAAGCACUACCGUGGUCUGUCCAACCCACAGUGCCUUCAUGGGAUUGAGAUUGUGAACUCACCAAACUUGUCGGCAGUUCCUGAGGCUGAUAUGAAGAGGUGGGCUGAGCUUACAGGAAGGGACCUUAAUUUCUCAAUACCGGCUGAAGCGAGUGACUUUGAGUCAUGGAGAAAUCUUCCAAGCACUGAUUUUGAACUUGAUAGGCCACAGCCAGCAGCGUCAAAGAGCGUCGCACAUACCUCUCAUAAUAAUAACCACAAGAAGACACUGAAUGGUUCAGGUCUGAACCUAUCUACACCGCCGUCAUCAGACGAUGGGAUGGACCUUUCACCAAAGUGCCACAAACGCCGCAAGGACUUCUUUGGUCAUGGCGUAGAAGAGGAUUGUGCGAUGGCCAAUAAUUCAUGUUCCGAGAGAGAGCAAGAGGUAGAAGUCCACACCGGUGAGCCGUCAUGGAUGCACGACUUCACUGGCGUGGCAAAGCACGCAAGUGGGCCUGUUACUGCUGCCAAGACGAUAUACGAGGAUGAUGAAGGCUACCUGAUCAUGGUGAGCAUGCUCUUAUCCGAUCCACACAGCGUGAAGGUCACCUGGAGGAACACGCUGACGCACGGCGUCGUGAAGAUAACAUGUGUGAGCACCGCCCGCAUGCCCUUCAUCAAGAGGCACGACAGGACCUUCAAGCUGACCGACCCUUCCCCUGAGCACUGCCCUCCUGGCGAGUUCGUGAGGGAGAUACCUCUGGCCACAAGGAUCCCAGAGAACGCCAAGAUCGAAGCGUAUUACGACGAGACCGGUACUGGACUGGAGAUCAUGGUACCAAAGCACCGGGUCGGACCGGAGGAGCAUGAAGUCCAGGUUUGCAUGAGGCCCCCGCAUCUUGGCGACAAUGAUCUCGUUUUAUCAUAAUAGAACAGGAAAAAAAAGAUUUUAGCCUCUUACUAGGUCCUCCGGUGUCAUGCCAUGAGACACCGGAACAUAGCAGCAACGCUAUCGUCAUGUCCAACUUAUUUGUCUCCCUUAGGCGGAAAAUUACCUUCUCCCCUGUUAAUCCCCUCUGUACUUUCUUUCUACACAGGUGCUACAUCACUACAUUGGUGGUGAUCCCCUUGACUAUUCCUUUCUGUGAAACAUGGCAAAGCUAAUAGUAGUAUAUAUUCCUGUCCCUGUAUAUUCCGAGGAUCGGGUUCAUAAUAAUGUGGACAGCUGCUACUCAUGAGCAGAGUCUGUCGACAUCGCUGCUGUAAUCAUUGUCCUAGGCAUCUUAGCAUACUUGUAUGUAUCGUACUAUAUAGGUAUGGCCUGGAUCGCUCUCGGCAUAAACGGGAACCUAAGAUUCUGUCUACCUGAAUCUGUUCUCGUGCCUGCUUUAUUCGUAGUGCUGAACCAAUGAUGUUCAGGGCCUGGUUUUCACAGCGGUGAUGCUGAAUCGUGCUGUUUCUGGCUCGCUCCGACGCGCAUUUCUCGGUUCAUCCUGGCUCUCCUGGGUGGUGUUGCGUAAGCAAAGAUGAUAUUUCUGCUUGUAUAUUCGCUGACUUGUAUGACCCGGAUCGUUUUGGUCUUUAGAUGAAAAUCUGCUGUCUGACUUGAAUUUCCGC
RNAcentral lists this ribosomal RNA (2735 nucleotides) under Triticum aestivum (bread wheat). RNAcentral's name for it is "partial small subunit ribosomal RNA". The record is from RNAcentral. Lineage: Eukaryota; Viridiplantae; Streptophyta; Magnoliopsida; Poales; Poaceae.